Long non-coding RNA from Haliotis rubra (blacklip abalone), 445 nucleotides. RefSeq lists it as uncharacterized. The transcript has 2 exons. The record is from RefSeq and is a predicted model, not a curated record. NCBI's taxonomy places the organism in Eukaryota, Metazoa, Mollusca, Gastropoda, Lepetellida, Haliotidae.
UGAGUGAGUGAGUGAGUGAGUGAGUGAGUGAUGAGUUGGUACUGCUUAACGCCGCCUCAGCAAUCUUAAAGUUAUUUGCAACGAGGCACCUACUAUUAUUCCACCCUUAUUUCAAACAUUGUCAUCGAAGGACUAUAGAGUGAGUGAGUGAAAACAAACAUCGGCAAUAGUUUAAGUUUAUUGUGAGAAAGUUACACAUGAAAAAUAAAUAUAUUUAGGCUAAAUAAAAAAUAUAUCGAAAAGGGACAGCACAAUUCAACAUAAAAGUGGGGCCAGGGUGACAUAUCGACAAUAUUUCAGCCACUUUUUGGCCCAAAACUGUGUUGCAUUAACAUACAUAAAAUUCUAUUUUAUAUUGACUUGUACUCACAAUGAUGUAUAAUUGUAUUUGAGAAAACUGUACUUCAUAUUCUGUGACUACAGCUCAAAUAAAGAAUGAAAUGGU